Molecule: long non-coding RNA, 1034 nt
Organism: Alosa alosa (allis shad)
Lineage: Eukaryota; Metazoa; Chordata; Actinopteri; Clupeiformes; Clupeidae
Exons: 3
Source: RefSeq, a predicted model, not a curated record
CAACAAGGGGUUGAUGGCUUGCUUGACGGCACGCUUUGCGUUACAGGAAUAGGCCUACCAACCUACGUUCAGUAUCGACUCACUCAACUUGCUAACGUAACGUUACAUCUGGAUCUGGAUGCGGAGCAGCAGAACUACCACACCAGAAGCUCGUAGAUCAGCUCAGAAGGAGAGAGAGAAGAAUGAGUAAUCACAGCCUUGACCAUGAAGCAAGGACCAUGAAGGGAUGGCCAUCGAAAAGAAAUACCUGUAUAGGCAGUUACAGGCUACAGAAAGAAGAUGCGGAGAGUGAUCUCCCAGCAUCCUCAACUGGGUAUAAAUGUUUGUGUAUGUGUGUGCAUGAGUCCACAUGCACAUUUCAGGUCCCUGACAGAUAGAAAGUGUAGGUGCUUCUCUGACACUCUUCUAUUACACCGACAUAGGGAGACACUAAUAGCAUUUACAGCCUAAUGACUGCCUUGAAUUAACGUGUAUACAUGUGUCAUUUAAAGUCCCCCUAAAGAGUAUUUGUAUUUACCUUAAAAUAACGUUUCCAAAAUCAUUUUGAUGGCACAAACUUUUAAUAGGACAAACAUCACUCAGAGUAGGUUUUAUCGCUUGUAAAAUAGCCAUAUGAAGUUGCUGUUUGGGUAGGAACACUGCACUACAUUGGUGCUGCUUUACAGGAAUGUAGUUAUAGGAACAGUCCACUUCUAAAUCAGUUCUACUAACUACUCUCCCCCAAAACCAUUUUUUCAUUUGCAUUCGCACUGUCCAAGUGGCCAUAGGAACUGAUAGGAGGGCGUAAGGAGUGACGCGCUGUCACUUGCUACAGGGUUUAAAAUAGGCAUGCACUCGCCUUGCCAAAUGCGAGUAAAUUAACUAACUAGCCUAUAUUUACAAAUGAUUUGAAUGACCCUCACUGUCUACUGUCGCUUCAAGCAUUCCACGGUCGGGACGAAUGAAACAGGCAUGAUGGACUAAUGAAGCCAGCAGUUUAAUCUAUAAACGUUUAACAUUGUUGCCAUGAAUACAUACCACAAAAUAUACACAGA